This 405-nucleotide RNase P RNA is filed under the name Candidatus Nealsonbacteria bacterium CG07_land_8_20_14_0_80_40_10. Its description in RNAcentral is "RNase P RNA component class A". It matches the Rfam family "Bacterial RNase P class A". Rfam says of the family: Ribonuclease P (RNase P) is a ubiquitous endoribonuclease, found in archaea, bacteria and eukarya as well as chloroplasts and mitochondria. Its best characterised activity is the generation of mature 5'-ends of tRNAs by cleaving the 5'-leader elements of precursor-tRNAs. Cellular RNase Ps are ribonucleoproteins. Lineage: Bacteria; Candidatus Nealsoniibacteriota. The record is from RNAcentral. RNAcentral also lists the same sequence under 1 other name.
CUUGGAAGACAAGACAGUGCCCCGACGUAACAUCGGGGAGGAAAGUCCAGGCACCACAGAGUAGGAUGCUCUCCGCAUACAUCUAAGAUGUAUGCUCUGGGCGGCCGUAAGGCUAGGGAAAGUGGAACAGAAACAAACAGCCACCCGACGCGUAAAGCUUUGGGCGGCGAAGGUGAAAUCGUGAGGUAAGAGCUCACGGUCCGGUAGAGUAAUCUGCUGGGCGUCCAAACCCCAUCUGGUGCAAGGUAAGUGGAUCCAAUCAUCAUCAAUCCUUCGAUAAACUCAGGAUUGAUCCUGAGCAAAGUCGAAUGGAUCAAACCAACUGCUCGUUGGGAUGUCCAUGGGUCUUACCGCUUAGAUAGAUGCUGUUAUAAACAGAACCUGGCUUAUGUUCUUCCAGGGCAC